GUCCUGUAUAGAGGUGCUCCUGCGGCAGCAGACAGCUCGUCUACCAUCUGACUAGGUACCACAAGAGUUUUUGCUUUUUUAUUUUAAAGAAAAGAUCUGCCCAUCACCUAUAUUUUUAUUUAUCUCAUGGGAUUUUCGUAUUUUCCUGGGAAUGCAGGCACUCUGUUCUUAUCAUGGCUGAAAUACGGUAGGCUUAAUACUUCACAAUUAUAUAGCACCUUUCACCCAAGGGCCUGUUGUUUGGUUUUGGUUUAUGUGUGUUUUAAUCAGCUUCCAGAAUUGCCAUGCCUCACCUGUGAAGUGGGAUAGGCAGGGUCCCCAAGAGGUGAUCACUCCAGGUGGUGUCUAAGCCAGAGCUACCACUGAGCCUAGGAGCCCUGAUCCUCAAUAUUGAUAAUUAGACAAAACUUCCUCAAAAAUGUUAGAGGAAGAGUAAUAGGAUUGUGCUACAAUGAGCCAUGUCCAUCUCUCUCCUGUUGUAUACUUAAAAGAAACACUGACUGCAUUGAGGGGAAUCCUAAAAACAUAACCCUAACAUGGCACUGUUGCAAGACUGCCCCUUGGAUCCCAUAGUUUGUGUGGUACUUUUACCACCGAAUUGUUCACUAGUGACUUUAGAGAAACUCCAGAAGAGCUGCCUUGGCUUUCAGCAAGAGGCCUAGCAAAGACCAUGGCAUGAGGUCUCCAUGAGGGACAGCCGUGUGUGAGGUCUCGACUGGGCUCUGACCAUCCCCCAGGUUUUCCAUUGUGAAAAGGUCUCCUUCUUGGUUUAGCUAACCCACCAGCAUGACCUUACAAACUCUCUUUCCUCCUCCCAUUUUGUCACUGAAUUCCACAGAGCUAAAUAUCUGUUCCAAAGAGGGACAAUGGCUCACAGGCCAAAGCCCCCCAGUAGGCACUUCAGACUGGAAUGUGAUGUUUUGCUUUGGGUCAGAAGGGCAGGAUGGCUUCCAGGCUUAGCGUAUUCAGCACAAAGACAGUAUCUGCUCUUGCCAGAACUUGUACCGCUAUUUUAACUCAGUGCAGUAGGUCUGUGGACCUCAGUGCAUGACCCAGAAGUGGGGCUGGUGUUGUGGCAGCUGAUGGGGCCCCAGACAGUGUGUGUCACUAAGAACAGCUGGAGGCCAAGUCUGGUGGCUGCAGGGAGGCUCUCUGGACCCCAUCAAGGGAGCAUCAAAGUACUAGCCAACUACUUUCUCCCCAGGGCAGGGGCUUGGCAGUAGAGAAUCCCCUCAGUAAUGGUUUGGGAUUUGACCUCCCCCCUUUGCUUCCCCCUCCCCCCUCCCCUAUCUCGGUUUUUCCUGUACAGCAACCUCCACUUCCCUCCCAGAUUCAACGGCUUCCUCCUCCCCACCCCCCAGAUCCCCAUGAACUCGUCCGGCCUUAUUUCUUUCUCAGGACCAGAUAGAGAACGCCGAUGAUGAAGCUGAAGCAGAAGCAGAUCCAGCCCAGGAUGUAGGAAUAGCCGUGGUGAUACUGCGUUCCAUCACGAUUCGCAUAAUGACUAGUGUAGAUGGACACCCCCACAAGAAUGCACAGCCAGCACACCAGUGUGGUGGCCCCUGAGAGGAAGAACCGGUUUCCCUUCUCCAUGGUGAAGAGCUGGAACACGAAGACCAGGAGGGCAAUGACACAGAAGAUGAUAGAGAGAAUCAUGAAGGCCUGCACUGUCUUGAGGGCAUCUUCACUGGCAUAUGACAGGCUGUCACUGCAGCUAAUGUUGGUACAGUUUUUCCAAAGACCUACUGAUGCAUCUACCGUAUUGGAAACCAACCAGAC
This 1779-nucleotide long non-coding RNA is filed under the name Homo sapiens (human). Its description in RNAcentral is "LNC_000905". Lineage: Eukaryota; Metazoa; Chordata; Mammalia; Primates; Hominidae. The record is from RNAcentral.